UACGAAGGGGGCUAGCGUUGCUCGGAAUCACUGGGCGUAAAGCGCACGUAGGCGGCUUUUUAAGUCAGGGGUGAAAUCCUGGAGCUCAACUCCAGAACUGCCUUUGAUACUGAGAAGCUUGAGUCUGGGAGAGGUGAGUGGAACUGCGAGUGUAGAGGUGAAAUUCGUAGAUAUUGGGAGGAACACCGGUGGCGAAGGCGGCUACCUGGACCGGUUCUGACGCUGAUGCGCGAAAGCGUGGGGAGCAAACAGG
Molecule: ribosomal RNA, 253 nt
Filed under: uncultured bacterium
Lineage: Bacteria
Description: partial 16S ribosomal RNA
Rfam family: Bacterial small subunit ribosomal RNA
Source: RNAcentral